GUUUAUAAUGGGUGUGUAUGGGACGGAAUGUUGGGGCUAGAGUGAGACAGCUCAACUGCUAGAGUGAGAGGAGUGAAAAAAUUAAUCUUAAAAUAUUUUUUAAAACUGCUGCUGUGUCCGCAGCGUUUGGUCUACAGGUAUGAUUUUACCCUCAAAACGUAGCCAUCGCUGUCCUCUUUCAUCCAAUGUGUUUACUAUUGUACUAGGUGUUAUGGUUCUUUCAUAAAUGUCACCAAAGCACAGCCUCCUCCCUCCAACUCCUCCAUAGACUCUAAUGUUAAAAUGGCUCAGAAGGUUCGUUUGAAAACCAGAAGUACAG
Oreochromis aureus is the source of this 319-nucleotide long non-coding RNA. NCBI's taxonomy places the organism in Eukaryota, Metazoa, Chordata, Actinopteri, Cichliformes, Cichlidae. The record is from Ensembl.